This is a long non-coding RNA of Orcinus orca (killer whale), 2130 nucleotides long. RefSeq lists it as uncharacterized. The record is from RefSeq and is a predicted model, not a curated record. NCBI's taxonomy places the organism in Eukaryota, Metazoa, Chordata, Mammalia, Artiodactyla, Delphinidae. The transcript has 2 exons.
GCAGUUUUCUCCUCUAGUUGCUGUGGCCCAAAUCGCAUUAGGAAGACACUAGCUCAGCAGGGUAGUACAAGCCUAUGUCCUUCCUUAAUACUUCUGAGUAGUUUGGGAUCGGAACCCAGCCAGAGCCAGUUGUAAAUCAGGACAUGCAGAACCAUUUAAUUUUUCUGCCAACUCUGCCCUCUCUAGAUACUGAAAACAGGAUGUUUUGACCCUGACACUGAACGGUGUGCUGCUGACACACAAGACCCCCACCCACUGGGGAGAGGUCUGCGUGCUGGGGUGGUUUUGCACAGUAACCUUUUUAUCUUUUCUUCCUCUUUUUUUGCCUGAAUGACUGUAGUACUUGGAUACAAAACACUGAUUGUAUGAUUAUCAGGAGAGACAGGGUUGAGACCUUUAAGGAUUUGGCCCAUUUUACUCUUUGAGAAACUCAUUUUCCUUUGUUGAGUGAGAGUUUGAGUUUGGCUAGAAGCAAUAAAAGGGAUGGUUGAGGAAUACUCGAAAAGUUUGAAGCUCACUAACCAAGACCUGUCCCUUUUGGAGUGGCCUUUUUAGUGUAAGUACAGGGGUGCAGCUUUGUUGGCAUUUGGCGCUGCUGAGGAGUGGCAUGAUCGGGCAUCCCCGCGCUCAGGCACCUCCUGGCACAGGCUGUGUGAAAAAUUGCUCUAGACACUCAGAGAUAGGGCUUUGAUCCCUCGAGUUCAGACUACAACAUAUUCUACCUUUUAGGCAAAAGUGGCCCUUUUGGUUUCUGGUUGUGUUUUUGUUUGUUUUUUAAAGUAAUAUAGUGAAAUAUAGUCAUCCUCAUUAUUCAUGGAUUCCGUAUUUGUGAUUUACCUACUCAGCAAAAUUCAUUUGUAACCCUAAAAUCAGUUCUAAUGGUGUUUUUGUGGACCUUUGCAGCCAUACACAGAUUGGCAAAAAAUUCGAGCUGUCCAUUGCACCAUGUUCUAGCUGAGGUUGAAUGUGGCAACACUGCCUUCUUUCAAGCUCUCAUACUGUAAACAAGUGUCUUUUUCAUAGUCUAUUUAGUGCCACAUUUUCUGCAUUUUUAUAAUUUUUCUUGGUGAUUUUGAUGUUUAAAAUGGCCUCAGGCAUAGUGCUAAAAAGUGCUGAGUGGUGUUACUAAGUGCAAGACUGUGAUGUGCCUUGUAGAGAAAAUACAUGUGUUAGAUAAGCUUUGUUCAGGCAUGAAUUACAGUGCGGCUGGGCACGAGUUCUAUGUUGAUGAGUCGACAGUAUAUAUCCAAGUGUCUUUAAACAGAAAAGACAUAUACCACAAGGUUUUGUAUUGACCAGUUGAUAAAAAUGUGACAGGAGGCUCGAAAGAGCUUAAACCUUUAUUUCCUCCAGGAGCAUUUGUUCAGUAUCACUGAUUCAUUGCUUACAGUGGCUGUAUAGAGCAGAACUACUGUGAAAACUGAGGAUUGACUCUACCUUUAAAAGAAGGAAGAAACUUUGGUGUCUACAUACAUCCUUGAUGAUUUUCCUCUCUAAUGCUUGUAACUUUUCCCACUUGCUUUAAAACAAAAUUUUUUUUCUUAUAAAACUAAUGCAUGUUCAUUGUAGAGAAUUUAGAAAACAGCCUAGUGAUAAGAAGGAAAUAUAAAACUCCAUAAUCCCAUCAUCCUAAAUUAACUUAACAUUUUGGUUCUUACUCUCUUAGUUCAUUCUGGCUGCUAUAACAGAAUACCAUAAACUGGGUGGCUUAAACAACAAACGUUUCUCAGAGUUUGGGAGGCUGGGAAGUCCAAGAUCAUGAUAGGUGCUGGCAGAUUUGUUCUGUGGUGAGGGCCAGCUUCUCCCGUGUCAUCACAUGGUAGAAGGGGCAGGGGAGCUCUCUGGGAUCUCUUUUAUAAGGUCACUAAUCUCCCUUUGUGAAGGCUCCACCCUUAUGAUCUAAUCACCUUCCAAAGACCCCACCUCCAAAUACCAUUGAAUUGAGGGUUAGGAUUUAAACAUGAAUUUGAGGGAGGAGCACAAUCAUUCAGUUUUUUCUCUGUGUGUGUAUAUACAUUUGUAUGUGUGUGUGUGUGUGUGUGUGUGUGUGUUUUAAAGUGAUCAAAGAGAGGUCAUUCCUACUUGUUCUGCAGAUUGGAAUAUGCUUCAAGCACUUGUCACUUUGAUUCA